Molecule: non-coding RNA, 84 nt
Organism: Stegodyphus mimosarum
Lineage: Eukaryota; Metazoa; Arthropoda; Arachnida; Araneae; Eresidae
Source: Rfam
GUCAGGGUGGCCGAGCGGUCUAAGGCGCCAGAUUUAAGCUCUGGUUCUCGAAAGAGAGCGUGGGUUCGAACCCCACUCCUGACA